Molecule: ribosomal RNA, 992 nt
Filed under: Apterodorcus bacchus
Lineage: Eukaryota; Metazoa; Arthropoda; Insecta; Coleoptera; Lucanidae
Description: partial 16S ribosomal RNA
Rfam family: Archaeal large subunit ribosomal RNA (bases 427-637)
Source: RNAcentral
UAAAUUAAAUUUUAAUAUUAAAAUUUCUCGAAAUUUAAGGGGCUAAAAAGUUAUAUAUUUUAAUGUGUAAUAAUUAUUUAAAAUAGCUUUUUUGUAAUUAUACGUUAGUCGUAUUAAAUUAUAUCUAGUUUUCUUAGAAAUGAAUUUAAUUCAUUUUAUUAUUAAAAACUUUCUUAAUUAUAUAAUAAGGUUUUUUUAAUAAGUUAAUAAUUUAAGGGAUAAGCUUUAAAUUAAAUUAUUAUAAUUUAAGAUUUAAUAUUUACUAAUAGGAUUAGAAGUUUCCAUUUAUAGAAAUGUGUUAUAACUAGUAAAUAAAAAAUAUAAUUUUCUUUAGGUUUAAGUUUUCUAUAAGAACAACUAAAUUAAUAUUUAAUUUAGUAAGAUAAUGAUAAAAUUAGUAUAAAAUAUUGUAUAAAUAAUUUAUUUAAUUUAGGUUAGAAAAAGGAACUCGGCAACUUAGUUUUCUGCCUGUUUAAUAAAAACAUGUCCUUUUGAAUAUAUAUAAGGUCUGACCUGCCCAAUGAUUUUUAAAUGGCCGCGGUACUUUGACCGUGCAAAGGUAGCAUAAUCAUUAGUUUUUUAAUUGAAAGCUGGAAUGAAUGGUUAGACAAGAAAUCGACUGUCUCUUUUUAAUUUUUAUUAGAAUUUUAUAUUUAAGUCAAAAAGCUUAAAUUUUUUUAAGGGACGAGAAGACCCUAUAGAAUUUUAUAGUUAAUUUAAUAUUAAUUUUAUAGUUUAAUUUUAUUUAUUUUAUUUUAGCUAUUUUGUUGGGGUGACAGGAAAAUAUAGUUAACUUUUCUUUUUCUUUAUCAUAAAUAAAUGAUUAAUUGAUCCAUUUUUAAUGAUUAAAAGACCAAAUUACCUUAGGGAUAACAGCGUAAUUAAUUUGGAGAGUUCUAAUCGAUAAAUUAGAUUGCGACCUCGAUGUUGGAUUAAAAUUAACUUUAGGUGUAGAAGCUUAUUAGUUAAGUCUGUUCGACUUUUAAAAUUUU